UUAUGCUGAGAAAUAUAAAAAUGCUACAUGUAACAGUCUUAAAGAUUUAGCUGAGUUACAUACAAGAAACAUUUAAAUGACUGGAUUUGACAUAACUGAGAAUAGCAAAAUACAUUUAGUCAAGUCUGGGGCAUCCCAGCUCAGUGGGUGAUGUUUUUAGUGGGUAUACAGUGGGUAACUGGAACAUGAGGUACAUGCCUGCAACAAGGGGCUUGUGGAUUUGAACGCGAAUUAUUACAGAGAAAUUGACAAUCAAUACUCUGGCAUCAGCUCUGGUGUACAUUUCCACAGUCAAAAUGCCAAAUGCUCCCAAUUGAAAAGCUAACCAAGAAAAACCUUCAUGGCAAAAGGAGCUGGAACAGUAACGGAAAAGGCAGAGAUGAAUUACUUACAGCUCACAAUCCAUUUCAGCAUGAGUACAGGUGCCUGAUGUUUCAGUAUGAGAACAGGUGCCUGAUGUUUCAGCAUGAGAACAGGUGCCUGAUGUUUCAGCAUGAGAACAGGUGCCUGAUGUUUCAACAUGAGAACAGGUGCCUGAUGUUUCAGCAUGAGAACAGUUGCCUGAUGUUUCAACAUGAGAACAGGUGCCUGAUGUUUCAACAUGAGAACAGGUGCCUGAUGUUUCAGCAUAAGAACAUGUGCCUGAUAUUUCAACAUGAAUACAGGUGCCUGAUGUUUCAGCACUGAGCACAGGUGCCUGAUGUUUCAGCAUAAGAACAUGUGCCUGAUAUUUCAACAUGAAUACAGGUGCCUGAUGUUUCAGCACUGAGCACAGGUGCCUGAUGUUUCAACAUGAGCACAAGUGCCUGAUGUUUCAGCAUAAGAACAUGUGCCUGAUGUUUCAGCACUGAGCUGGCAUCUCCUUCAGAGUAACCUGACCGUUGCACGGUACUCCUAUUUAAAAUUUAGAGGACUAUUCAGACACAAUUUUGUUUUACAUUGGAAAAGUUAGAUGAUUUUUUCCCAGUUGAUAUGGUCAGUUUUUAUCUUCAUGUGGGAAGAUGAUAUUUGAUAAACAAUUUUACAUUUCAGCUAAUGUAUUAUAUGACCAACUAGUGAUGUUGACCGGAGGUAUUGGCACUUUCUCAAAUAACUUUGUCUUUAAAAGUAAGUUUAAGUGGACCGAAGUAUUUAAUCUCCACAAUUCUUAUUUCACUGCUAAUAUUACAGAAACUUUGUUUAUAUUGUUUUAUAUCAAAAAAUAAACUUGAAUGGCACAGACAAAAUUGAAAUGCUAAGCUCAGUGUGUUGUAGCACUGCUUUUUGCAAACAAACAGUUUG
This is a long non-coding RNA of Esox lucius (northern pike), 1281 nucleotides long. NCBI's taxonomy places the organism in Eukaryota, Metazoa, Chordata, Actinopteri, Esociformes, Esocidae. The record is from Ensembl.